AUUGAACGCUGGCGGCAUGCCUUACACAUGCCAGUCGAACGGUAACAGGUCUUCGUUUGCUGUCUGGUGGUGGACGCGGGCGUAAUACAUCGGAACGGGCCCCAUCGUGGGGGGAAACGGAGCAAAAGCGGUGCUAAUAGCGCAUACGGUCUACUGAUGAAAACCGGGUACUUCAAGACCUUGAGCCGGCCUAGCGGCCGAUGGCAGAUUAGGUAGUUGGUGGGUUAAUAGCUUACCAAGCCGACGAUGUGUAGCUGGUCUGAGAGGACGAGCAGCCACACUGGAACUGAGACACGGCCCAGACUCCUACGGGAGGCAGCAGUGGGGAAUUUUGGACAAUGGGCGAAAGCCUGAUCCAGCAAUGCCGCGUGCAGGAUGAAGGUCUUCGGGUUGUAAAAUGCUUUUGUACGGAACGAAAAGAUGCUUACGAAUAAAGAGGGUCCAUGACGGUACCGUAAGAAUAAGCAACGGCUAACUACGUG
This 482-nucleotide ribosomal RNA is filed under the name uncultured bacterium. Its description in RNAcentral is "partial 16S ribosomal RNA". It matches the Rfam family "Bacterial small subunit ribosomal RNA", at positions 30 to 507 of the family's 1533-position model. The record is from RNAcentral.